AAGUCGUAACAAGGUUUCCGUAGGUGAACCUGCGGAAGGAUCAUUAUUGAAUAUUCUUGAUGGGUUGUAGCUGGCUCUUCGGGGCAUGUGCACGCUUGUCUUGACUUUAUUCGUCCACCUGUGCACCUUUUGUAGUCUUGUGGGUUGAGAGCAGUCAACUAUCGGACAGCUAUUACAGCCGCUCCGGAUAUGAGGAAUGCUGAGUGCGAAAGCAUACAACUCUUCUCAACGAUUGCAAUACCUCUCCCUCGAGUACUAUGUAUUCAUAUACCACUUGUAUGUUGUCGAAUGUGAUCAAUGGGCUUAUGUGCCUAUAAUAAUCAUAUACAACUUUCAGCAACGGAUCUCUUGGCUCUC
Molecule: unclassified non-coding RNA, 357 nt
Filed under: Globaria promontorii
Lineage: Eukaryota; Fungi; Basidiomycota; Agaricomycetes; Agaricales; Lycoperdaceae
Description: Bovista promontorii partial internal transcribed spacer region
Rfam family: Eukaryotic small subunit ribosomal RNA (bases 1-46)
Source: RNAcentral